CGCUGUUCCUGGGAUGCUCCCUUACAUAAUGACGCGACUGGCUGAAGCGCACGUCAGCGCAGACACCGCACAUGCCGCAAACCCGGGCCUUCCGAUUUCAUACAUUGCUAGACGAGAGCCUACAAUGCCAUGCCGUACGGUAUGCUCUAGUAGGGAUUACAAUACAAUGAAACGCAACCCAAUAAUAAUAAAGCAUACCUUCG
This 203-nucleotide long non-coding RNA is filed under the name Homo sapiens (human). RNAcentral's name for it is "HSALNT0003471". Lineage: Eukaryota; Metazoa; Chordata; Mammalia; Primates; Hominidae. The record is from RNAcentral.